Molecule: ribosomal RNA, 451 nt
Filed under: uncultured bacterium
Lineage: Bacteria
Description: partial 16S ribosomal RNA
Rfam family: Bacterial small subunit ribosomal RNA
Source: RNAcentral
AGCGAACGCUGGCGGCAUGCCUAACACAUGCAAGUCGCACGGGGGGGCUUCGGCCUCCCAGUGGGGGACGGGUGAGGAACGCGUAGGGACCUGUCGAGGGGUGGGGGAUAACCGCGGGAAACUGCGGCUAAUACCGCAUGACGCCGCGGCGUGACAGCCGGGGCCAAAGGCGAAAGCCGCCCGCCGAGGGGCCUGCGUCCGAUUAGCUGGUUGGCGGGGUAGCGGCCCACCAAGGCGUCGAUCGGUAGCUGGUCUGAGAGGGUGAUCAGCCACACCGGGACUGAGACACGGCCCGGACUCCUACGGGAGGCAGCAGUGGGGAAUAUUGGACAAUGGGCGCAAGCCUGAUCCAGCAAUGCCGCGUGGGUGAAGAAGGUCUUCGGAUUGUAAAGCCCUUUCGGCGGGGACGAUGGUGACGGUACCCGCAGAAGAAGCCCCGGCUAACUUCGUG